GAAAAUGGACGUCACACUUAACUUAGAUAAAAAAAAAAUAAAAAAAAUAACAAAGAUCAGAGUGAGCUUGUCUUGGGACAGGCGCAAAAAUACGGCGGGCUAAACAUGCUUUGUGAGAUCUCAACCCUCCCGCUAUACAACUAUAUCUAGCUCAUGUAGAAUAAACAAACACACAACAAUAUGCACAGAAAAACUCAGUUUAAAAGAAAUCCGAGUCCGAUGACAAAAUAGUAAACAAAAGAAACUACACAAAAUGAAUAUGAUUCAUAAAUUAACAAAGAACUACUAGCAGUAACUGACAUGCCAGCUCCAGACCCCAAUUAAACAUAUCGAAAUAAUAUAUAGAUAUAAGAAGAUGUGGUAUGAGUGCCAAUGAGACAACUCUCCA
Molecule: long non-coding RNA, 388 nt
Filed under: Mytilus galloprovincialis (Mediterranean mussel)
Lineage: Eukaryota; Metazoa; Mollusca; Bivalvia; Mytilida; Mytilidae
Source: RNAcentral